This 1443-nucleotide ribosomal RNA is filed under the name uncultured organism. RNAcentral's name for it is "SSU rRNA". It matches the Rfam family "Bacterial small subunit ribosomal RNA". The record is from RNAcentral.
CGUUGGCGGCGUGCUUAACACAUGCAAGUCGAACGGAAAGGCCCUGCUUUUGUGGGGUGCUCGAGUGGCGAACGGGUGAGUAACACGUGAGUAACCUGCCCUUGACUUUGGGAUAACUUCAGGAAACUGGGGCUAAUACCGGAUAGGAGCUCCUGCUGCAUGGUGGGGGUUGGAAAGUUUCGGCGGUUGGGGAUGGACUCGCGGCUUAUCAGCUUGUUGGUGGGGUAGUGGCUUACCAAGGCUUUGACGGGUAGCCGGCCUGAGAGGGUGACCGGCCACAUUGGGACUGAGAUACGGCCCAGACUCCUACGGGAGGCAGCAGUGGGGAAUAUUGCACAAUGGGCGGAAGCCUGAUGCAGCAACGCCGCGUGCGGGAUGACGGCCUUCGGGUUGUAAACCGCUUUCGCCUGUGACGAAGCGUGAGUGACGGUAAUGGGUAAAGAAGCACCGGCUAACUACGUGCCAGCAGCCGCGGUGAUACGUAGGGUGCGAGCGUUGUCCGGAUUUAUUGGGCGUAAAGGGCUCGUAGGUGGUUGAUCGCGUCGGAAGUGUAAUCUUGGGGCUUAACCCUGAGCGUGCUUUCGAUACGGGUUGACUUGAGGAAGGUAGGGGAGAAUGGAAUUCCUGGUGGAGCGGUGGAAUGCGCAAAUAUCAGGAGGAACACCAGUGGCGAAGGCGGUUCUCUGGGCCUUUCCUGGACGCUGAGGAGGGAAAGCGUGGGGAGCGAACAGGCUUAGAUACCCUGGUAGUCCACGCUGUAAACGGUGGGUACUAGGUGUGGGGUCCAUUCCACGGGUUCCGUGCCGUAGCUAACGCUUUAAGUACCCCGCCUGGGGAGUACGGCCGCAAGGCUAAAACUCAAAGGAAUUGACGGGGCCCCGCACAAGCGGCGGAGCAUGCGGAUUAAUUCGAUGCAACGCGUAGAACCUUACCUGGGUUUGACAUGGACCGGGAGUGCUCAGAGAUGGGUGUGCCUCUUUUGGGGUCGGUUCACAGGUGGUGCAUGGCUGUCGUCAGCUCGUGUCGUGAGAUGUUGGGUUAAGUCCCGCAACGAGCGCAACCCUUGUUCACUGUUGCCAGCACGUUAUGGUGGGGACUCAGUGGAGACCGCCGGGGUCAACUCGGAGGGAGGUGGGGAUGACGUCAAGUCAUCAUGCCCCUUAUGUCCAGGGCUUCACGCAUGCUACAAUGGCUGGUACGGAGAGUGGCGAGCCUGUGAGGGUGAGCGAAUCUCGGAAAGCCGGUCUCAGUUCGGAUUGGGGUCUGCAACUCGACCUCAUGAAGUCGGAGUCGCUAGUAAUCGCAGAUCAGCAACGCUGCGGUGAAUACGUUCCCGGGGCUUGUACACACCGCCCGUCAAGUCAUGAAAGUUGGUAACACCCGAAGCCGGUGGCCUAACCGUUGUGGGGGAGCCGUCGAAGGUGGGACUGGUGAUUAGGACUA